ACCUCGGACCUAACGACGCUAUCACCUGAACGCCUAACAAAAGAAUUUGCUUACGCUUCCCGGCCACCAUAGUAAUUUCUCGGCGUGUUCCCUCUUUCGGAGGCUAUUGACACUAGCUAAAAGCGGCCAUGAUUUGUUGGAUACACGGCAGCUGAAUGUCAUCUCCGAUUUAGAUGAGGGAUUACAAAAUAUCAAGCACUCGGAUGAAAGUAAUAAGGUGUUGUUCUUAAAGCGUAGUAACAGUAGAAUUACUACAUAUCCAUGCAUUGGGCUCAAUGUUCCGUUGUCAGGUGUUAAUUUGGGGGCGAACUGCAACGUAUUCGGCCGGUCUUAUACGCUACGAUCUACUGUGAGCUGGUACGUUGAUGUAUAGUCCAGAAGAUGUCAUGUUGUUGAUGAGGACUUACAUCACGUACCAGUUACUAGGACUAGGAUUGACACAGAGAAAUCUGUAUCUGUCUCUAGAACAUCAAAGGUAUCCUGUGGACGUGGCCCUCACUCGCCAGGAGCAUUUGAAAGCGAAAGCGAUGGUGAACUUCCUUCCCCAGAUCCAAACCCAUCAUCGCCAACUUGGAACUGGAAAGGAUCGCCGCCACUGCCAUUGAAGGUCCGGAAAAAGACGCGGUGCAGCCCCAGAUCGCCAACUCCGCCAGCAUCGCCGGCCUCCCGGAAAAAUCGUGCAACAAUUUCCAAGGAAUGCCAAAGAACAGAGACGUCAGUCCGCCGUAAACAGCAAAAAGACAUGUCCGGUUUAUACACUACGCCGAGAUUCUUCGUCAGUCCAUCGAAGACUCCCAAAAGUGCACCGACCAAAGGUGCAAUGGCUGCGUCCAGAUCAGCUGCAACGAAGUCCACUCCAACGACUCCUCCACGUCAGCAGGCUUCCCUUACGAAACCAUCAAGCGAGUUGCUGGAUGUUGAAAAACAACGCCUAGAAAUAGAACGAGAACGACUUGGAAUUGAAAAGAAAAACCAUCUUCUUCUACAAGAGAUUAACAACCUCCAGAAGAAACGUCUUGAAGUUGAACUUGCCCGUGAUACUGCCCGUGACACUAUGAAGCAUCAAGACAACGUAUUUGACAUCUUUAAAUAGACUCUAAAUCGAUGAAUUAAACUUUUUGUUGAUACAGAUUACUGUUUUUCGGUCAUGCCGACCUUACCUAAUUAUUUUGUUCUUAAGGGUUGGCUAUAGGCACCGCCAUUUUGGCUAGAGCUUGAACUCUUGGAGCAACUAGAACUCAUUCAAAAUGCAGUUAAUACCAAUUUCAAGGCUGUUAUGCAGUUCCCUGGACAAAAAGGAACUGCAUACCAUCCUUGAAAUUUGCAUUCACUUCAUUUUGUACAAGAUCUAAUUGCUCCAAGAUUUCACGUUCUAGCCAAAAUGGUGGUGUCUAUAGCAAACCCUUAAAGGUUAGAAGUCUUCCUGGAUUUGUGCGGCCUUUCUUCCUUGACCUUUUCUUCCAUGUGAUUUGGAUAUAACGAAGUCCUUUGUUGCAUCCGACAGAUUCAAGAACAGGAAUAAAAUGUUGUAUAUUUA
Long non-coding RNA from Lineus longissimus, 1537 nucleotides. RefSeq lists it as uncharacterized. NCBI's taxonomy places the organism in Eukaryota, Metazoa, Nemertea, Pilidiophora, Heteronemertea, Lineidae. The transcript is spliced from 3 exons. The record is from RefSeq and is a predicted model, not a curated record.